Molecule: ribosomal RNA, 482 nt
Filed under: uncultured bacterium
Lineage: Bacteria
Description: partial 16S ribosomal RNA
Rfam family: Bacterial small subunit ribosomal RNA
Source: RNAcentral
GAUGAACGCUAGCGGCAGGCCUAAUACAUGCAAGUCGGACGGGAUUCAGGAGCUUGCUUCUGAUGAGAGUGGCGCACGGGUGCGUAACACGUAUGUAACCUACCUUUAUCAGGGGGAUAGCCUCUCGAAAGAGAGAUUAAGCCCGCAUAAAAUCACAGCACAGCAUUGUGUAAUGAUCAAAUAUUUAUAGGAUAAAGAUGGGCAUGCGGAACAUUAGCUAGAUGGCGGGGUAACGGCCCACCAUGGCGACGAUGUUUAGGGGAUCUGAGAGGAUGGCCCACCACACCGGUACUGAGACACGGACCAGAAUGCUACGGGAGGGAGGGGUAAGGAAUAUUGGUCAAUGGGCGGAAGCCUGACCCAGCCAUGCCGCGUACAGGAAGCCGGCCCUAGGGAUUGUAAACUGCUUUUAUACGAGAAUAACCCCAGAUACGCGUAUCUGGCUGAAUGUACUGUAAGAAUAAGGACCGGCUAACUCCGUG